Vicia villosa (hairy vetch) is the source of this 450-nucleotide long non-coding RNA. RefSeq lists it as uncharacterized. The transcript is spliced from 2 exons. The record is from RefSeq and is a predicted model, not a curated record. NCBI's taxonomy places the organism in Eukaryota, Viridiplantae, Streptophyta, Magnoliopsida, Fabales, Fabaceae.
UUGGGCUAAAUGUUGUGUUGCCCAUGUGAAUUAGUUUAGCCCAAAGUAGGAUUAGUGAGGUAAUAUCUUAGGUUUAGAAACAGUCAGUAAGGGCAUAACUUUAGAAGAGGAAGCAGUUAGCAGAGAAUUGGGAGAAACCAGUGCACGUGAGAUUUGCCUAGCAGAGGAAUUUUUGGGGAUUUUGAUCGGGACGAUUUAGAGCAACCUUCGAUCCAAAGGUGAUGCUAGUGAGUGAAGGAUUAGCUGUCGCGAGUUGAGUCGGUUGUCGCUCUGAUACGUAGCACUCGGGGGGAUAAAACGAUUGUUUUUAGUAUUGUUUUAAUUGCUGAAUUUUAUUUGGUUUGAUUUGAAUUGUAACUUAAAGUUACCGUGCAAAGAUGCUACGACUUGAUUUAAAUAGUUAUGAAGUUUGUUGAUUCCGCUGCGAGUUAAUUAUUGAAUUUAAACAAA